CCUACGGGAGGCAGCAGUGGGGAAUUUUGGACAAUGGGGGCAACCCUGAUCCAGCCAUUCCGCGUGAGUGAAGAAGGCCUUCGGGUUGUAAAGCUCUUUCGCAAGGGAAGAAAACUUAUGAUCGAAUAAAUCAUGAGGUUGACGGUACCUUGAUAAGAAGCACCGGCUAACUACGUGCCAGCAGCCGCGGUAAUACGUAGGGUGCGAGCGUUAAUCGGAAUUACUGGGCGUAAAGCGUGCGCAGGCGGUUUUGUAAGUCGGAUGUGAAAUCCCCGGGCUCAACCUGGGAACUGCGUUCGAAACUGCAAGGCUAGAGUGUGUCAGAGGGGGGUAGAAUUCCACGUGUAGCAGUGAAAUGCGUAGAGAUGUGGAGGAAUACCAAUGGCGAAGGCAGCCCCCUGGGAUAACACUGACGCUCAUGCACGAAAGCGUGGGGAGCAAACAGGAUUAGAUACCCUGGUAGUCCACGCCCUAAACGAUGUCAACUAGUUGUUGGUAGAGUAAAAUCUAUGAGUAACGUAGCUAACGCGUGAAGUUGACCGCCUGGGGAGUACGGUCGCAAGAUUAAAACUUAAAGGAAUUGACGG
Molecule: ribosomal RNA, 587 nt
Filed under: uncultured bacterium
Lineage: Bacteria
Description: bacterial SSU rRNA
Rfam family: Bacterial small subunit ribosomal RNA
Source: RNAcentral